GGGGUUGGGGCUCAGUGGUAGAGCAUGCAUCUCGCAUAUGGGAGGCACUGGGUUCCAUCCUCAGCACCACUU
This 72-nucleotide transfer RNA is filed under the name Marmota monax (woodchuck). RNAcentral's name for it is "tRNA.Ala". Lineage: Eukaryota; Metazoa; Chordata; Mammalia; Rodentia; Sciuridae. The record is from RNAcentral.